Molecule: ribosomal RNA, 305 nt
Filed under: uncultured bacterium
Lineage: Bacteria
Description: bacterial SSU rRNA
Rfam family: Bacterial small subunit ribosomal RNA
Source: RNAcentral
CGUGGCCUACGGGAGGCAGCAGUGAGGAAUAUUGGUCAAUGGGCGGAAGCCUGAACCAGCCAAGUCGCGUGAGGGAUUAAGGCCCUAUGGGUCGUAAACCUCUUUUGUCAGGGAGCAAUGGCGUCCACGUGUGGGCGUAUGGAGAGUACCUGAAGAAAAAGCAUCGGCUAACUCCGUGCCAGCAGCCGCGGUAAUACGGAAGGCCCGAGCGUUAUCCGGAUUCAUUGGGCUUAAAGGGAGCGUAGGCGGGCGUUCAAGUCAGCUGUAAAAUCUCGCGGCUCAACCGCGCCCCGCAGUUGAAACUC